AUUGAAACACUGGUUCUCAUCUGAUCACCAAAGUUAAGCAUCUUUGAGUCUGGUCAAUACCUAAAUGGGUGACUGCUUGGGACUAUCAGGUACUGUAAG
Molecule: non-coding RNA, 99 nt
Organism: Acanthosepion pharaonis
Lineage: Eukaryota; Metazoa; Mollusca; Cephalopoda; Sepiida; Sepiidae
Source: the annotation of a GenBank genome assembly